UGCCAAGAAUCAGUGACAUUAUCACAUAAU
This 30-nucleotide non-coding RNA is filed under the name Rattus norvegicus (Norway rat). The record is from RNAcentral. Lineage: Eukaryota; Metazoa; Chordata; Mammalia; Rodentia; Muridae.